Long non-coding RNA from Uranotaenia lowii, 443 nucleotides. RefSeq lists it as uncharacterized. The record is from RefSeq and is a predicted model, not a curated record. The transcript is spliced from 2 exons. Lineage: Eukaryota; Metazoa; Arthropoda; Insecta; Diptera; Culicidae.
AUCCCGAUUUAUCAGGACAACUGGCACCUUUGGUAGCUGCUGUCAUGACUGCUGAGAAGAAGAAAAAAAGAAAAAUAAAACAAACAGAAAUCUCGUACGAAUUUUUGAUGCUGUUAUCAAAAAUUCGUGCGAAACUGCUGUUGAUCUCCCGCAAUGGACCAGGAAGCCGGCGCACCGAGGGCUGGACUCUGCAACUUAGGUAAAGAGAUGCAUAAUAUUUCAGUGUCGCCGAAUGAAGCAUUUAUCUAUGCAGCCCGAGUUCCCCGACCGUGGGGACUACCUCGCUUGUAUAACUAUGGCUCUGCAGUGUGGAUUUCGGAACAAAUUGGCCAAUGUCUCAGCCCACUUCAUACACGCAUUGAAUAAUGGAUGAAGCUGAAUCAAAGAAUUAAAAAGGUUUCUGAAUGGAUUGAACGUAAGUUAAAAUAUAAAAAUAAAAUUUA